Small nucleolar RNA from Suncus etruscus (white-toothed pygmy shrew), 133 nucleotides. RefSeq annotates it as small nucleolar RNA SNORA70. NCBI's taxonomy places the organism in Eukaryota, Metazoa, Chordata, Mammalia, Eulipotyphla, Soricidae. The record is from RefSeq and is a predicted model, not a curated record. The transcript has a single exon.
AUGCAAUCAAACCCUCCGUGUUCUCUGACCUGUGAGACCUGGGAAGAAAAGACUGCAAACAACAAACAAAUCCCUUGGUGUUUUUGAGGCUUAUGACUUGUAGAAGUCUUUUUAAAGAACCUUGGAGACAGUU